This 464-nucleotide ribosomal RNA is filed under the name uncultured bacterium. RNAcentral's name for it is "bacterial SSU rRNA". It matches the Rfam family "Archaeal small subunit ribosomal RNA", at positions 102 to 567 of the family's 1478-position model. The record is from RNAcentral.
GGACAACCUGCCCUUAGGACGGGGAUAAACCCGGGAAACUGGGUAUAAUACCCGAUAGGUCUCGAUUGCUGGAAUGCAUCGAGAUUUAAAGCUCCGGCGCCUAAGGAUGGGUCUGCGGCCUAUCAGGUAGUAGUGGGUGUAGCGUACCUACUAGCCUACGACGGGUACGGGUUGUGAGAGCAAGAGCCCGGAGAUGGAUUCUGAGACACGAAUCCAGGCCCUACGGGGUGCAGCAGGCGCGAAAACUUUACAAUGCUGGCAACAGCGAUAAGGGAACCUCGAGUGCCAGGUUACAAAUCUGGCUGUCGAGAUGCCUAAAAAGCAUUUCAUAGCAAGGGCCGGGCAAGACCGGUGCCAGCCGCCGCGGUAACACCGGCGGCUCGAGUGGUAACCGUUAUUAUUGGGUCUAAAGGGUCUGUAGCCGGCCGGAUAAGUCUCUUGAGAAAUCUGGCAGCUUAACUGUC